GUCUGGUGGUGGUCGAUUUAGUCGUUCGUCUCGUCUGAAUGUCAAUUUUAAGCUUCGUGGUCAAAAGGCUGGUGUGUAGUUGGAUUUUUGGAGAACCAGGGGUGAAACCAUGAGGGAGGAAUGGUGAAAUUACCAGCCACUACAGAAAACGGGAAUUGCUUCAAUGUCUGUUUGCAGUCUAGGGUUUAUCUUAAGUUUAGGGAAUAUUUUUUAUGUUGGUCAACUGUAUAACAGUAUGAAGUAGUGAGGGCACAGGAAAACUACUAUGAUUGAUAGUCAAUGAUGCAGUUCAUUUCUUUUGGUGUGGACACAACGAGCAUUAUGGCCAUUAUCUGCACCAACCUGUUGAUUUGGGGGGUGGGGGGAGGGGCAGGUGUUGCAUAACAUGACAGUUCAGGGAAAAUGUAUCGGUUGUUUGCCCCAUAUCUUAUGCCAUUUGGCGUUUGUUUAGUGUUAACAGUUUUUAAAAAAGUCAUUCUAUUUGUUGUUUUCUUUUCUUUGGAUUAAUAUUUAAGUGUCGCUUUCUAAUGUCGGAAAAGUUUAAAGUUUUAGUCGUAUGUUCUGGUGACGCUUUGGAAAGUAAUAAGUUCUGAUACCAAGUAAAGAAAAUCCACAUCAACUUUUAAAAUCCGACAUUAGAAGUGGACGGUUUCACACGACACGACUAGUAAUGGAAUAUUUUGAAGUCUGAGAUCAAAACAAACUUAUUAUAUUAAUCCAAAGAAAUUAAUUAACUAGUAUUAUCUCAACAAACGCCUAAGCGCCAUUGGCCAAAAUGCGUGAUCGACAUUUUAGAUAGUAGUUGAGGGAUUUGGAAUUUAUUUUGGAAACUCGCGUGUUGUGUACUCGUGUGCUCUUUUGGACAUGUGCUGUUUACUACAGGAAAUAUCAUAGAAAUUGAAAAAUUGGGUAAACAUUUGAUGUCCUUAGAAAGGCUUUUGAUCCAUGAUUUCUCAAGAUUUUACGCGAGUUUUUUUUUUUUUUCUUUGUCCAUUUUUUCAAUGUCAUUAUUUCUGGGAGAUAUAAAUAUUCGGGGGGGGGGGAAGACAAAUGACGGGAGCAGUAUACUUAAAAUAAAAUAUCUUCUAUAACUAAGCGAUUUAUGUUAAUCUAGCCGAGUUUUAUAAUAAAAUGAAGAAAGUAAAGUUGUAA
Daphnia pulex (common water flea) is the source of this 1152-nucleotide long non-coding RNA. RefSeq lists it as uncharacterized. The transcript has 2 exons. NCBI's taxonomy places the organism in Eukaryota, Metazoa, Arthropoda, Branchiopoda, Diplostraca, Daphniidae. The record is from RefSeq and is a predicted model, not a curated record.